UACGUAGGUGGCAAGCGUUGUCCGGAAUUAUUGGGCGUAAAGGGCUCGUAGGCGGUUUGUCGCGUCGGGAGUGAAAAUCCAGGGCUUAACUCUGGACUGGCUUCCGAUACGGGCAGACUAGAGGUAUGCAGGGGAGAACGGAAUUCCUGGUGUAGCGGUGAAAUGCGUAGAUAUCUGGAGGAAUACCGGUGGCGAAGGCGGCAUCCUGGACCGGCAUUGACGCUGAUGAGCGAAAGCUAGGGGAGCAAACGGG
RNAcentral lists this ribosomal RNA (253 nucleotides) under uncultured bacterium. Its description in RNAcentral is "partial 16S ribosomal RNA". It matches the Rfam family "Bacterial small subunit ribosomal RNA", at positions 524 to 776 of the family's 1533-position model. The record is from RNAcentral.